AACCCUAACCCCGGGCAGCCCCAGGGGGCUCUUAGAACCUAGACCCACCCGUGGGGCCAUUGACCUCCAAACCUAGAGCCACCGGGGCUGCAGGGGGUCUAGAACCUGGACCCACCAGCGCUGGGAGGGGGAAUUUAGAACCUAGGCCUGCCCGCCCUGGGGAAGAGGAGCCUAACAUAGAACUUAGGUGCUGGGAGGGCAAUCCUAGAAAACAGCACCAGCAGCCUAGAACCCAGCUCAGGUGUUUGGAAGGGGCCCUGCAAUGUAGGAGACAAGCACUGGGAGGGGAACCUAGAACACAGAGCAUAACUGCUUGGAGGGGGCCUAGAAUAUUGAACUUGGGCCUGGGGUGGAAAAGCUAGCAUGUCAGUGCUGGAACAGGGACUCUAGAACACAGCACACAGGUGCUGUGAGGGAGCCUAGAACAAACACCAAAGCUCGGGGGAACCCUAAAAUGUGGGACUCCCCUGGGAGGGGACCCUAGAACAUCAGGGUAGAAGGGGAAUCCAGAUCAUAGCCCCAAGCCCCAAAACAUAGAACACAACAUCAGUGCUAGGAGAGAACCCCCAAAACGAAAGUGCACAGGUCUUCAGAGCUGGAAGGGAAUCUAGAACCCAAAAUGUCAGAGCUGGGAGACACCUUAGAACAUAGGAUUUCUGAGUUGAAAGGUACCUUAGAACAUAGGAUGUCAGAGCUAGUUGGGACCUUAGAACAUAGAAUGUCAGAGCUGGGAGGAACUUUGGGACACAGAACUUCUGAGCUGGAAGGGACCCUAGAACACCGAAUGUCGGAGUUGGGGUGGACCUUAAGACAUAGAAUGUCAGAGCUGGGAGGGAACCUAGGACGCAGACUGUCGUUGCACAGGACUGAAGAGGUUGUAGGGAACCUAGAAUACAGAAUGUCGGAACUGGGAGUCACCCUACAGUACAGAAACCUGGAGCUGGAAGGGACCUUGGAGUGUCGGAUGUCGGAGCUCCGAGGCACCUUAGGACGCAGAGUGUCCGAGCUGGGAGGGGCCAUGGGACACACAAUCAUGUCCGAGCUGGAAGGGACCCUAGAGUUUAUCAUGUCAGAGCUGGGGGACACUUUAGGGCACCGAAUGUCAGAACUGGAGGGGACCCUGGAACAUAAAAUGUCAGAACUGGAAGGGACUUUGGAACACAGGAUGUCGGAGCUAGGAGGAAUCUUAAGACAUAGGAUGUCUGAACUGGGAGGGUCCUUGGGAUACAGACUAUCUGAGCUGGGAGGGACCUUAGAACACAGGAUGUCAGAGCUGGAAGAGACCUUAGAACACAGGAUCUUAGAGUUGGAAGAGACCUUAAAACACAGAAUAUCAGAGCUAGGAGGCACCUUAGAACACAGAAUGUCAGAGCUGGAGGGGGUCUUAGAGCACAGAAUGUCAGAGCUGGAGGGGGUCUUAGGGCAUAGAAUGUCAGGAUUCGGAGGAGUCCUGGGACGUAGAGUGUCACAGCUGGGAGCAACCUUAGGACAUCGAAUGUCUGAGCUGGGUUCGACUUUAGGACAUCGAAUGUCGGUGCUGGGAGGGACUUUAGAACAGAGAAUGUCAGAUCUGGGAGGGGCCUUGGGACAUAGGAUGUCCGAGCUGGGAGGGACCCUAGAGCAUAGGAUGUCCGAGCUGGGAGCCACCUUAGAACACAGAAUGUCCGAGCUCGGCUCAACCUUAACACAUAGGAUGUUCGAGUUGGGAGGGUCCUUAGAACACAGAAUGUCCGAGCUGGGAGAGACCCUAGAGCACAGAAUGGCCAAGCUAGGCUCAACCUUAGAACACAGAAUGUCUGGGCUGGGAGGGUCCUUAGAACACAGGAUGUCAGAUCUGGGAGGGGCCUUGGGACACAGAAUGUCAGAGCUAGAAGUGACCUUAGACCAUAGAAUGUCAGAGCUGGAAGUGACCUUAGCACACAGGAUGUCUGAGCUGGGAGCCACCUUAGCACACAGGAUGUCUGAGCUGGGAGCCACCUUAGCACACAGGGUGGCCCAGCUAGAAGCAGUUUGGGGACUAAGAAUGCGGCAGAUGGGAGGGUCCUUGGGGCCCAGAAUGCCAGCGCUGGAGGGGACCUUAGGAUGUAGAAUGUCAGAGCUGGGAGCCACCCUAGAACGGAGGAUGUCACAGCUGGGAGUGACUUUAGGACGGAGGAUGUCCGAGUUGUCAGUGACUUUUGGACUUAGAAUGUCACAUCUGGGGGUGAUCUUAGGACACAGGAUAUUGGGGCUGGAAAGGACCUUGGGACGCAGAAUGUCAGAACUGGGAAGAACCUUAGGACACAGAAUGUCAGAGCUGGGGGUGACUCUGGGAUAUAGAAUGUCUGAGUUGGGAGGGACUUUAGGCCACAGAAUGUCUGAGCUGGGAGUGUUCUUAGGACAUAGAAUAUCAGACCUGGAAGUAACCUUAGGAUACAGAAUGUCCGAGCUAGAAUCGACUUUAGAACACAGAAUGUCCGAGUUGGGAGGAACUUUGGAGCACAGAAUGUCAGAGCUGGGAGGGAACCUACGACAUAGAAUGUCAGCACUAGGAGGAACCUUAGAACACAGAAUGUCCCAGCUGGGAGGGACCUUAGAACACAGCAUGUUAGAGUGGGGAGGACCCUUAGGUCAUAGAAUGUCCGAGCUGGGAGGGAGCUUCUAACAGCCCAAGAUUUAGAGCAGAAAUGGACCUUAGAGAUUCUGCAGUGAGAUCCUCAGUUUACAGGGAGGGGGGGGUCUACGGUGGAAGGCUGGGUGACCUGUUCUCACAACACCCCACUGGAGGAUCCAGGGCCAACUAAGACCCCUAAGAUAAGGCGGUGCAGGGGUCCUCGAUGAGAUGAGGGUUGUACUGCGGGAUCCCCACGGCCCCUUUCAGCUCCAAUUCGGUGACUCUGAAGUGGUCCCGUGUUCUCUAAUGCCCAUUCUAGUUCUCAGUGCUUUGAUCUUUCCUCCAGCUUUCCCUCUCAUUCAGCUCAAUUCCACAUUUAUUAAGCUUGCGCUGUCAAAAUCAGUGUGCCUUAAGCUUCUGUCUUCAGUGCUGCCAAAGCUAGCGGGUGAUAGAGUCUUUAGUCUGUCUGUGUCCUCUUCCGUUUAAGUCCUACUCCUAUGCCUCAGUGCUGUGCUGAGGCCACUGACUCUGGGUUUUCAAAGGCAAAGCCAAGAGACCAAAGCGUCAGCAAGUUUAGGAAGCAGGAAAAGGACUGACUAGGGAGCUGCCCUAAUUUUUAGUUCGGUCUCUCAUGGGAGGACCCGCUGGGGACACCUAGCCACUAGCUGAGGAGUGGUGGGGAUGGCCUUUGUAGGGGAGGGAGGGCCUUGAUGAAUGAGAGACAGGAUUCUCCAUGUGUAUGUGUCAUGGGCCCUUACCUGCCUUUGAACUCCCCAGUGGUUGUUUUAACUAAAGUUUGUAUUUUCCCUUUCCACAUCUUAGGCAUUGAAAAAUUUUGUUAAGUUGAAUUGGAUUUAGGCUCUGGAAUCAGCUAGUGAUUUGUCACUUGAUUACAGAGUAACACACGGGGAGAUAAAAGGAUAAGUGAGAAAUGGGGCUGCUCUCAGGAAGCUUACAUUCUCGUAGGGAGCUGUGACACAUACAUAAAUCACCACUGGCGAGAGUCUCAUUCUGUCAUUUGUCCAGGCAAAGAAUCAGGCCCAUCAGCUGUCCCAGGGGUGUCUGACUGGGAAGCUGCCAAGGAAAGUAGGACGGAAGGCAGGGAGGGUUGCUUUCUCAAGUCUGUAGAGCAGAGGUUGAGUCUUUGUUUCCAUGUGGGGAAAGGACCUAGCAAAUCUCUGGUAUUGCUGUCAAAGGAGACGAAUUAACUCCGAGAGAUUCAGAAACUUCUGACGAUGGCCCUGGAUGUCGUGCCAUUCAUGGCCAGGAGUCCUGCCAGACCAAGUUUUCCUCUUCUCUCUCAGCCCCCCCAAAAAGAACCAAGAAGAAAAUAAUAAUGAAGAAAAAAGCUCAGGAAUUUAAUAUUUUAUCCUGAAAUAAAUGACGCCACUCAAGAACCUGUUAACUGUACAAAUUACACAGCUCAUGCAUCAUGUUACCCAGCACCAAACAUAACUUGUAAGGAUUUUAGCGGCAACGAAACCCAUUUUACCGGAAGUGAAGU
Dromiciops gliroides (monito del monte) is the source of this 4097-nucleotide RNA transcript. It is a transcript of the gene named TM2 domain containing 1, with no coding region annotated. The transcript has 3 exons. Lineage: Eukaryota; Metazoa; Chordata; Mammalia; Microbiotheria; Microbiotheriidae. The record is from RefSeq and is a predicted model, not a curated record.